GGGGCCAUCUUGUUGGUGAGAGUUCCAGCGACGAUCAUGCAAUCAGACUGACGAGGGCUAGGCCUGAAAAUGAUCCCGAAGCGAUCGAGAUCGUAGCGGGCGGCACCGGUGUGCAUCAUUUCGACGGCGCAGCAGGCGAGGCCGAAGGUCAUGGGCCAGAUGGAGCCGGUGCGAGCCCAAUUCAUGAGAUCGUCGACCUUGGAGAUGACGUACUCCACCGCCUUGGGGACGCCGGUGGGGGAGGAAGCCGAUGGAGGCGAUGGCGGAGCAUAGGGUGAGGGUGUGGGUGAGGAGAAGGAAGGGAGGGUUGUGUGAAGGGAAACCACCCGCUGAGGUGACACCAGGUGUGGGAAGCGUGAGGCGGUUCGACUCAGAAGAGCCAUCGUGGUUCGGUUGCAACCAGGUGGGUGGGUGAGGAUUGAAUCGCAGGAAUAGAACUUCGGUGGUGCCUCUCUUUCUCUCUCUAACGUUUUAAAUUUUAUGGCCAAGCCAAGUAAUGUACGUGGUGCUUGUAUAAAUCACAUGCUUAAUGUAUGUACCUACUUCCUUAUUUAGCACUAAGUGGUUUAAUGUUUGAUUUUUAACGAAAAAUUAUUCUUACGGCCAUCGGCGUGAGGACUUCUUGGCAGGGGCAUGUAUAAACAUUUUAGGCACUAAGGCGAAAAUGUUGAGUGAUUUUUUUUACAAUAAUGAUACUUGAAAUAUUAUAUAUCAAUUUUUUAUAUCAAGAAAAAAUGCGGAAUCAAAAUCCCUAAUGCUUACGCCUUACAUCACAACCAUAGGUCCCCAUUUAAAACACAAGACUUCACCCAGCCAAGCAAACCAAAAUACUUAACAGUAAAAAUCUCAACAAGUGCCAUAGAGCUUAAACCCAUAACCUAAUAAAGACAAACACAAAUAAAAAAAAACUAGAAAGGAUAAGAAACAGAUGGCAUAACAACACCUGACAUGUAAGUAGCUCCAACACAACCACUAGAUCACCUUUGCGGUAAAUCUUUCAACCAGAAAAAGUUGAAGUCAAAAGAAAAUCGUAACCUCAAUGCUCUUGACUAAACGCACACAAAAAGAAAGAUGGCCAACCCAAACUCUACUUCAAGAUAUACCACCUUCAUGUCUUGCAAAAGAAACUAAAAACCUAUAACCUGAAAAACUCAAACUGCCAACAACAGCCACCAAUGUCAGCCUCAACCCACAUGUUUUGUUGCCGUGAAGACACACCAACCCACCAUCAAAAGCAUCAUGAUAAAAAACCUGAAACCCUACAACAACAACAACAACAACAACAACAACAAACCUCAAAGCCACAAGAUCCACGACACCCAUGAAGCAUAAACGAGCAACGACGAUGAACAGAGCCAAGAGGCUAAGCCCUUGGCGACUCAAAUGAAGACGAGUAGCAAGAUCGACAAAUGGACCACAUCAACCCGAUCAAGGAGUGACAACAGAGAGGAGGAGGAACUAGGGGUUUCCACCGACAAAGGACGACCGCAGUUGUCGGAUUGGAAGCCAGAGGACAAAACAGACGUCCUUGAACAACAAAUGCCAAGAUCGUCAGAUCUCAAAGACAUCGGUCGGAGGCAAAUGAAAAGAAGAGGGAGCUAACGAAAAGAGAGGAUUAGAGGGGGUUGCAACCACGCAGGAAGGUGGUGCGACAGCCAUCCAAGGAACCCUAGAUCAUGACGUACUAUAGUUUUUUUUUUUGGAUAAAAGAAUUGCAAAAGAAAGAAAAAAAAAAUAGGAGAAAAAAAAACUACUGCCUCAUCAAGAAGUUGAAAAUAUACUAAGUUCUUUAAAAGAAUUUUUCCUCAUCUCUACUUGUAAAUUUAUCAAUCAAGUUAGCUAUUUGUAUUUUGCUAUAUUAAGUGUCUUUGAGUGUUUUAGAUGCUCACAAUAAAACUUCCCUCAAAACUAUUGUUACUCGUUCAUAUAACCCAUUAUAUAUUCAUACCUGUUUUUAACUCACUUGAGAUUUGAAUCUUAUUUUUCACAAUGGCUUAAUCGUUGUUGUUGUUGAAGCAUCUAAUAGGACCAACAUAAAAUAGAUUGAGAGGGGUAAAGUUUAAUUUGGAGCUUGACUUGUAAGAAACUAAGAAUUCUUAAGAUAUAUGCAUUCAACAAGCUAAUUUUGAUUUUGCUAGCUAGUUUAUGAUUUUUGAAUACCAAUCAUUCAACAAAGGAGAUGAUCUGGUUAUGUAGAAACGGUCUACAUAGAUUUAUAAAUGUUCGCCUAUAUAAGGGGGAAGGGAAGAGAGGAGUACGUACUUGCGAAGAGCCGGGGCCAUCUUGUUGGUGAGAGUGCCGGCGACGAUCAUGCAGUCAGACUGGCGAGGGCUAGGCCUGAAAAUGAUGCCAAAGCGAUCAAGAUCGUAGCGGGCGGCACCGGUGUGCAUCAUUUCAACGGCGCAGCAGGCGAGGCCGAAGGUCAUGGGCCAGAUGGAGCCAGUGCGAGCCCAGUUCAUGAGACUGUCAACCUUGGAGAUCACGUACUCCACCGCCUUGGGGACGCCGGUGGGGGAGGAAGCCGAAGGGGGUGGUGGCGGAGCAUAGGGUGUAGGUGUGGGUGUAGAGAGGGAAGGGAGGGUUGUGUGAAGGGAAACCACCCGUUGAGGUGACACCAGUUGUGGGAAGCGUGAGGAGGUUCGACUCAGAAGAGCCAUGGUGAUUUCGUUGCAUCCAGGUGAGGAUUAAAUCGCAUGCAGGAACUGAACUCCUGGUUUUCCUCUUUU
Molecule: long non-coding RNA, 2726 nt
Filed under: Lotus japonicus
Lineage: Eukaryota; Viridiplantae; Streptophyta; Magnoliopsida; Fabales; Fabaceae
Description: long non-coding RNA (LJAP_LNC001070)
Source: RNAcentral